GAUUCCUCCUGCUCGUCCUGCCGCUGGCCUCGCGUCCUCGAGGAGCUCGGGUGCUUGGCGGCGGACGUGGGCGGCAAAGUCACUGGGGUCCUCCUCCUCAGCCGGCUACGAACAGAAAGAAGAGAAGGGAAUUGAAUGCUCUGCACACCAUGUUCCUUCCUCGACGACUGGAACGAUUCAGACGAAGAGAUUGACAAGAUCGAGC
RNAcentral lists this long non-coding RNA (205 nucleotides) under Brachypodium distachyon (stiff brome). RNAcentral's name for it is "long non-coding RNA (BDIS_LNC001273)". Lineage: Eukaryota; Viridiplantae; Streptophyta; Magnoliopsida; Poales; Poaceae. The record is from RNAcentral.